This 1070-nucleotide long non-coding RNA is filed under the name Trifolium pratense (red clover). Its description in RNAcentral is "long non-coding RNA (TPRA_LNC007517)". Lineage: Eukaryota; Viridiplantae; Streptophyta; Magnoliopsida; Fabales; Fabaceae. The record is from RNAcentral.
CUGGGAAAGUUGAAUUCAUAAUCUCUUUACUUAAACAUUGGAUAUGUGCAAUUCAUUGUUUUCACUUCUCUAUCUAUCAUAUUGCUGUGUCCAAAACCAAAAUCCAAUAGUUAUAAGUGAUAUAUAUUAUUUAUGAAUUGCAUAUCAUACAUCUCUUUUGUAUAUUUACACAUCUAUGAAAAACAAAUUGAUGAAGAUAAGAAAAUACUGACCAGCAUCAGGAAGGCAAUCUUUACGCAAAACAAAUGUCCUCUUCUUUUCAUGAUCAAUAAUUGCAAAAAAAAACUGACACAUAGCUACAUCAUCAUUGGCUACACACAUGUGAAUAGAAUAAGUCAAGUAUUAGAAUUAGAACAAUACACAUGUUCUUUUUUGCAUAUAAACUAAAUGACUUUAUGUUUAGAAUACUGCAUUUGCUUACUUACUGAUGUUAUAGAUGGAUGUUAUUCUAUUAGUUUCAACUUUCAAAUUAGUACUACCUGCAAGCAGAAUACUAAAAUAAGUCUGCAUCCUCUUGAAUACAUCACAAGAAACAGGUUAAAGCAUAUAAUAAUACCUCAUCCUCAGUUUCUACCUGAAUUCAAAAGAUUCAUCACAUUAAUGGAAAGUGUAGGAAAUGAGGGAGCCUACAAAAUUGAUAGAAAUCAAGAAAUACCACUCAAACUCCAAAGUAAAAGAGAAAAGAGUACAUGAUUCAACAUUGUUUACUUGAACAAAAGGAACAUCAAAAUGGGCAAAUACUCCUUCAAAAUCAUUUGGUGAUGAACCAUACCUGUGAUUGAUGCUUAUUAGUUUUAGGUAUCAGCUGGCUAAAUAUAAAAUACACAUUUGUAACCCAAAAAGAACAUGAGUCGUGAAAGUGCAAUUCAAUGAGGCAAUCAAUCAAACUUGUAAAAGGAGAAUUAAUUAAAGCUGUAAAAUGUACACAAAAAGUAGUAAAAUAAUAAAAUAAAUGCAUCGAAGAAUGAGAAAAUAACUCACUUCAACAUAUGAGAAUUAUUUCUAUCUUCCAUUCCUCUCAUCAGUCUUGAAUGUAUAAGGUUUUUCUAGGCCAGCCUCAUUAUANNNNN